This 5699-nucleotide unclassified non-coding RNA is filed under the name Leishmania donovani. RNAcentral's name for it is "gene:LdHU3.17.0650(CDS-product:hypothetical_prote in_conserved)". Lineage: Eukaryota; Euglenozoa; Kinetoplastea; Trypanosomatida; Trypanosomatidae. The record is from RNAcentral.
UGAUAGGGCUUGCAGAGCUUUGUGCUCUGCAACUCCUUUACUAACUCAAACCCUUUUGAUGGAAUGCUUUCUCCUCUGCUGGGAGGUCGUGGCUGUGCGUUCCUAUCGUUCGUGACGUGAAAUCAAUCUACUGCACAGGUAAAUCGUCCAGUAUUCCUCGCCCUUCCGCGUACUCGUUUUGCCACUCCGGCGCACUUCUCAACCUUCUGCUAAGGCCAUCAAAUCACGAGACGAACACCUCCGUCUGUGUUUUUUUUGCGCUGGUGGUGGCCAGCAGCGUUUUGCUUUUAUUUUUUCUGGAGAUCUUGGUCGCAUUCGUUUUGCGACAAUGGAUCGAUGCCCUUGGCGUCGAAGAUCAACGCGAACCGUGAACUCAAGCGCAUAGCUGCCGAGAAUCGCCACUUGUAUGCUCGACUGCUGAGUAAUAUUGAAGCACAGAGCUCAUCGCGGCGUGUUGCUGCUCCUUGCUCCGGCCUUUAUGUCAGCCGCACGCCACCGAAUCGGAAGUACCUUUUCACCGGCAAAGGUGAAGAACACAACCCUCUGUACCAGACGUCCGUUUGCAUUCCGCUCCAUCACCGAUGCCGUUUGACGGUGGCCGAGGCGAGCGCUGCAUCAAGGGAAGAGGCGGAGCUUGGCGCGAUUAUCGAUGCGCUGGCUGUUGCUCCCUCAUCUACGGAGUGGGCAAGGAUCAUGCGGGUGCUCGAUUCCGAUCUAUUCGUCUCGUUUGCAGCACUUUUGACAAACCUGAACGCCUACGCACUCGUGCGAGUGGUGCGUGCGCAGCCUGCGCGAGCUGGUCCCGCUACUUUGCGCGCGCCAUUUGCAUUGGAAACUCGACCGCAGUUCCGUGCCACAGUGGCCGCGGAGCUGGCGUCCAUCGAUGAUGCUGAAGUUGUCUCAAGAAAUCAGAGCGAUAAAAUUGCUGACGGUAAUGUGCCGCUGACGAGGGGUAGUGCUGUUGGCCCCCAAGCUCAAACUCUUGAGAGCCGGCAGCACGCGCGUCAUUAUGAUGUUGGUGUAACAGGCGACUGGGCACCGAGCGCACGUGACGCAAUAAAGCUGGCUCUUUUCAAGUCUCUCGAUGUCUUGCAAGAUCAUGCGGUGGAUGAGUGGCGUGAAGCCGGUCGAGAAGGUGCGUUGCUGUUGAAUGAGCUGGCACGCGGGGGCUGCUGCACGAGUGAAAUGGACGUUUGCGUUCUAAAUUCGGCUUUGCGGUGCGGAAGCGUCUCCCAGAAUCCGUCAUGCACUGCUGUUACUGAAGACGUGGCCUUGCGUUUUCGGUGCGUUGCAGGUUCUGACAGCAUUAGCGUCACUACGACGUCUGUGGAGCGCGCGCCCAAGGAAAGCCAUAUUAGGCCCAGUUGUGCACCACUAGGGAGUGUUAAAGAGAGCGGCUUCGCGGCUGCGAGCUCAGCUCCUUCAGGAGAAGCCGCUGGUCUGGUGGUGUCCGACGAAAUCUGUUUGCCCUUUCCGAUUUCAGCGGUCACGAUCCGGCGCCCUUUUGUCGAUGAAGACGCUUGCAGAAGCAGACCGACACUCAAGGAGCUGCGAUGGCCGCGCCAAUGCAUGACUGGUGCUGCUCUGCUGCUUUUGGCGGCCGCCAAAGCAUCGCUGUACCGCAGUGCGACGCCCACGUGCAGUGCCUUGAUGUUGGACUCCAACGCUGCCCUUGAAGGUGUGUCAGCUGUCUCAGUGUGCUGCAAAUCACCAGUCGUGUCGGCGUUUGAGUGGCCCCGCGCACCGUUCUUUUCCACCUUUUGUAACUCUACGGCGCUGCAGCGGGGGCUCUUCUCACAUGGUGAGCCAUGGGGCGUAGAAUCGAAUACUGCGCAAGAUACCACUGGUUCACCAGCACAAAAUCAGUGGCACUGCCCCGACGUGGUCGCGAUGAUCGCUUCUAUGCGUGCAGCUCUUCAUCUUCCCUUGCGAAGCUAUCCAAAAAUCACGUUCGAGCAAACAGCGUUGCAUGAUCCGGCGCGCCGUAUGCAGGAGCUUGCUCAGGGCCUGUACGGAGAUGUGGACGUUUUGACAAGGGUGCAUGUAUGGUGGGAGACCCCUCGCGACUGCUUCGUAGCAUGCGCCGUGAGUGACCCUGCGCUGCACCACCGAAAUGCGAUUCAGUCUGGUUCCGAGGCAUCAUCCCGUGCAUGGCUCUCGUGCGCAGAUACCGGUUACCCUCGCGGUCCCCUUCUCCUCUUGGUUGCUGCUGUCUGCUCCUUGUACGACCAGAUUGUUAGCCGUGUCGCCACUGCGGCUGCAGAGUGCUAUCCAAUGGUCCCUGUAAAGAAUUCCUUUGCGCGAGGCGGGCUGGACUUCCUCCUUUUUUCGUGGUUUGAGGCGUCGCCGCAGGUGCGCUGCUUCACCAUCGGCUCCACUCCACCAAGCUAUGCGCAGCAGCCGAGGUCCGAGGCGACCUCGCUCCUCAACGGGUCGACGCACCACGAGCUUGGCCCUUCAAUGACGCGUGCGAUGCUCUUCUACGACGUACUGGGGCAACGCGUGCUGUUUGCGGAAACGCACGCCACCAACGCAGAGGACGCUGUGGCACGCAUGAAUUUUCUCUCGGUGGAGCAGAAUAUUCCUAGCCAAGACUUGUACGCGCCACCCUCUACGGUGGCGCAGCGGCCAUUUCGGUCGGUGCCACGGCAGCGCCGGUGGCAGCGCUCCCGUCAGCUGCUGGAGCGCUCCUUGCAGCGGAGCAUCGAUGCCGCCGACGGCACAGGGGCUGACCACUUAGCGAGGUCUAGCCAAUGCGCAGGACAUCAGACGCACAACCGGAUGCUGGUGGCCGCAGCUGUGCGCGCGUGCAUCGGGGCUUGCGCGUCAGAGGCAGGCGCGUUAUGGACAGUGCUGCAGGUUGUUGCGAAAGUCACCGCAACGCGUGCGGGUGCUGCCUCGGAGAGCAGCGGCAUCAACGGUGAAGGGGGUGUACGUGCCCGCCAGCUUCUGUCUGCGCGCCUCUUGGAAGACUCUAGUCCAACUGCUGAGCCGUUUGCAGGACAGGCGGGCAGUGAAGAAGAUCGAGGGUGGUGGACUGGCGGCCACGAUGUCGCGUGGAACUGCCGACCUCUAGGCAAAGAGGCAGCCCCACCUCGUGCAGGUGUGAUGGAGGCGCAACUGUGCAUGGGAACUUCGCUCGGCGCUGCUGCCACGACCGACGGGAAGCCGGCAGCGGCGGCGAGUGUGGAAGUCCUUAUCUUGCGGUGCCGCGUAGACGCGAUGCGAGGCGCGAGCGAGGUGGCCGCGGCUGAGUGGUUGUGCGAGAAACGCGUGACUGAGUCCCUCUCACUUUGCCGCUUGGGCACCGUCACCUUAACGACUGCACAGGCGGUCUCAGGCAUCUUUCCUGCUCUGGCGUUGCUGUGUCGCCGGGCACUCGAGUACAUCUAUUCAGAAGCCCGCUACGCACCGCUAGUGUCGAUCCUCCCACCCAUGAGCGACGUUCUUGCGUGGUGCGCAGCAGCGGCACCAAUGUUUGCCGGUACAGGUGGCGGCUACCUUCCAUACGAGGCGCGCUUCUACGCGGCCCCAAAGCUGCUCGGUGAGCUGCUGCAAGGUGCUGCGGGGAAGUACAGGUGCAGCUACAACAUUCCGUCCCCGCGUGGCCGUGUAAAGAGUGCCGCAUCUGGUGCUGACCGGGGCGAGGGCUGCGCAGAGGUGGAGAGAGAGAGAGGAGAGGCAGCGCAGCCGUCGACGAUCUUCUACACCUCAAAGCCCAUUCACGUCGAUACGGCGGCCAACGGGGACGCAACACGGCAGCAGCAUGGUAGUCGCCUCGCCAAACCACCUGCCGUGGCAUGCACGCUUUACCUUGAGAGCCUGCUGGGGAAUGGGGCGUCUCCAUCAGCGGCUGCUGUCUCGCCGACGUGCCCUUCUCCGGUGGCGAUUCCGUUUAUUCUAGGACAUGGCGUGGGCCGGACGAAGCGGGAGGCAUGGCGAUCAGCUGCUUGGCAGGCAGUGCGCCUCCAGUUUCCUGCGGUGUUGGCACAGCUGGAGGCGUACCGCGACGUGUCGGAGUUGCUGCAGCGGCCAGCGCAGCUGAACCAGCUUGUGCGCAGCAGCGGGCUGGAUCGGAACAGCGUCUGGGGUGGAGUUGCUCCUGUCGUUUACAAGCUGAACUUUGACUGCUCGGUGCUCUUCCCUUCCUCCGUAAGAAAUGCAGCGACAGAGGUGGCCGCUUCUGCGUCAGUUCAGGCAGUGCGCCAGUCGCAGUGCGGGGUGACAGCCGUAAGGACAGACGGCUCCAAGCUGUGCGUCGUCCCCGGCUGCAGAGCCACUGCUGCCUCUUCAGGGGAGGCCUACACAGCCGCCGUCGCUGUCGUUCUCCGUGCGGUGCGUGGCGCUGCGCAGGAGGCUGCAGCGCACAUGACAAGUGCCACCAUGGGGACAACAGCGAGUCGAACGGGAUGGGCGGCUAUGCCGCCCUCGUCUCCCGGCUCUGUUAGCGGUGCGGCCCGCAGCCCGGACUCCUGCCCCUACGCGGCGUGGCGUGACACGACGCACUAUGGGAAGAGCAUAUGGCACGCCUACGCGGGGGCGCUGAGCGCUUACCUCGACAGUGAUGUGGUGGUUCAUCCCGUCGCCGCAGAGGAUAUCAGCGUCGACGAGUUGGGCUCGCUGUCGCGUGGGGCGGGAAGCGGGAGGAGGCUCAGCCGUCGGGUGGUGCUGUCAAAGGUGCAGGUGCGCAUGCGCGACGGGCGUAUUGGAGCAGCUACCGCGGCUGGUAACGUUUCCCUCGGUUUCACCGACCAGCAAUCUCGGGCAUCUCGCAGGAUCACCUCCUUUGGAGCAUUCUCUGUUGCUGCAGGUUGCGGUGCCAUCAACGCCAAUGUCGGUGACGGUGCGGACGGCAUCCUGUUUGAAUGCACGGCUGCUUCUCUCUUUACUCGUCGCUGGCUGCCGCUUGACACUGCGGCGAACGGCACGCGUGUCGGCGCGGUCGCUGCAGCGGCACCACUACCCCGUGAGAAUCCUUCCCGCCUUCUGCAGGAGAUCACCCGGUGGCUCAGUGACAUAACACAAGAGUGUGGGCUGCCGCUCGCGGUGCGUGAGGAGCUGCGAGGACUCUUGUGUGCCCGCGCCUGUGACUUGGCGCGCAUUCAAGACAGCUAUCGAUCGACGCCUGCGGAACGGGUGGAGGCGUUGCUGAUGCGGUGGGUGGGGCGCCGCGCACAGGUGCGCAUUCGCCGCAUAAACUCCAGUGUGGUCGCGUAUCCGUCUUUGGCGAAUCAGAUGGUGUGGGUGGCGGAGGCUUUAGUAGAGAUUCAAGCGGAGCGCCGGCGUUCAGGCUCGCCAUCUUCUUCGCAUGCUGGCUUACCUCUGGAUGGCAACGUUCUACAACUGCUAGAUCAAGACGGUGAACUCAAGUCAUGUGCAGGUACAAGGGAACAUCUUGAUCGUCCUUGGGUGGCGGCGCGCGCUGUCGGCGUCACGAGCAACGAGGCCGCCUGGCAGCUAUAUCGACACGUUUGCGAUGCACUCCGCGAUGUGGUGGCAACGGAGCCGUCCCCACGAUCCGUGGAGAAGCGGUGGCGGCAAUGAGAGAGAGCAGAGGCGUUGCACUACGAUCGGUGUCGCGUGAACUUGCCGUUGGUGCUUCAGCGUGAGUGAGGAGCACUGCGUCUUACCCUUGCCUUUCACCAAGCGCGCUUCGUUCGCGCGCCGUUGUGAGUUGCACCGGCCUGCACUGGAGGACG